RNAcentral lists this ribosomal RNA (450 nucleotides) under uncultured bacterium. RNAcentral describes it as "partial 16S ribosomal RNA". It matches the Rfam family "Bacterial small subunit ribosomal RNA", at positions 354 to 796 of the family's 1533-position model. The record is from RNAcentral.
GUGGGGAAUAUUGGACAAUGGGCGAAAGCCUGAUCCAGCCAUGCCGCGUGUGUGAAGAAGGUCUUCGGAUUGUAAAGCACUUUAAGUUGGGAGGAAGGGCAGUAAGUUAAUACCUUGCUGUUUUGACGUUACCGACAGAAUAAGCACCGGCUAACUUCGUGCCAGCAGCCGCGGUAAUACGAAGGGUGCAAGCGUUAAUCGGAAUUACUGGGCGUAAAGCGCGCGUAGGUGGUUUUGUAAGUUGGAGGUGAAAUCCCCGGGCUCAACCUGGGAACUGCCUCCAAAACUGCAGGACUAGAGUACGGUAGAGGGUAGUGGAAUUUCCUGUGUAGCGGUGAAAUGCGUAGAUAUAGGAAGGAACACCAGUGGCGAAGGCGACUACCUGGACUGAUACUGACACUGAGGUGCGAAAGCGUGGGGAGCAAACAGGAUUAGAAACCCGUGUAGUCC